UGAGGAAUAUUGGACAAUGGGCGGUAGCCUGAUCCAGCCAUGCCGCGUGCAGGAAGAAUGUCCUAUGGACUGUAAACUGCUUUUGUACGGGAAGAACCGGGGGCACGCGUGCCCCCCUGACGGUACCGUAAGAAUAAGGAUCGGCUAACUCCGUGCCAGCAGCCGCGGUAAUACGGAGGAUCCGAGCGUUAUCCGGAAUCAUUGGGUUUAAAGGGUCCGUAGGCGGGCCGUUAAGUCAGGGGUGAAAGUCUGCGGCUCAACCGUAGAACUGCCCUUGAUACUGGCGGCCUUGAGUUAUGGUGAAGUAGCCAGAAUAUGUGGUGUAGCGGUGAAAUGCAUAGAUAUCACAUGGAAUACCGAUUGCGAAGGCAGGCUACUAACCAUAUACUGACGCUGAUGGACGAAAGCGUGGGUAGCGAACAGG
RNAcentral lists this ribosomal RNA (424 nucleotides) under uncultured prokaryote. Its description in RNAcentral is "bacterial SSU rRNA". It matches the Rfam family "Bacterial small subunit ribosomal RNA", at positions 355 to 776 of the family's 1533-position model. RNAcentral also lists the same sequence under 1 other name. The record is from RNAcentral.